Molecule: ribosomal RNA, 468 nt
Filed under: uncultured bacterium
Lineage: Bacteria
Description: partial 16S ribosomal RNA
Rfam family: Bacterial small subunit ribosomal RNA
Source: RNAcentral
GACGAACGCUGGCGGCGUGCUUAACACAUGCAAGUCGAACGGAAAGGCCCUGCUUUUGUGGGGUGCUCGAGUGGCGAACGGGUGAGUAACACGUGAGUAACCUGCCCUUGACUUUGGGAUAACUUCAGGAAAAUGGGGCUAAUACCGGAUAGGAGCUCCUGCUGCAUGGUGGGGGUUGGAAAGUUUCGGCGGUUGGGGAUGGACUCGCGGCUUAUCCGCUUGUUGGUGGGGUAGUGGCUUACCAAGGCUUUGACGGGUAGCCGGCCUGAGAGGGUGACCGGCCACAUUGGGACUGAGAGACGGCCCAGACUCCUACGGGAGGCAGCAGGGGGGAAUAUUGCACAAUGGGCGGAAGCCUGAUGCAGCAACGCCGCGUGCGGGAUGACGGCCUUCGGGUUGUAAACCGCUUUCGCCGUUGACGAAGCGUGAGUGACGGUAAUUGGUAAAGAAGCACCGGCUAACUACGUG